This is an RNA transcript of Spinacia oleracea (spinach), 1369 nucleotides long. RefSeq lists it as uncharacterized. The transcript has 10 exons. The record is from RefSeq and is a predicted model, not a curated record. NCBI's taxonomy places the organism in Eukaryota, Viridiplantae, Streptophyta, Magnoliopsida, Caryophyllales, Amaranthaceae.
CGACCAAAUUGCAAUAGAUAAAAAAGAAAGAAAUGAGAAAUGGUGGUGCGCGGAAGUCGGCGACAACGACAACCCUGAGUCGGCGGUGGGAAAAGCCUAAAACAGACAGAAAAGCUUAGAGAGAAGUAAGAGGAGAUCAGAAAUAUGGGGUUUUUGAGACUGAGAAGCCUGCUUCACCCUUGUAAUUGCAUCAUCAAUAACAUGGUUGCUGCUAAUAAAUUUACAAUCUUUAAACGAACCCUAAUUACAACUACACCAUUUGUCAAUUCAUCAUUUGCCACUUCGCCCCCUUGGUCCCUAUCACAGCGUCGUGGUGUCAAAGUUCUCGGCUCUGAGGUCAGAACUGGGCAGAUUGUCCAAAGAAAGGGCCGCAUUUAUCAGGUUCUAAAAGCACAACACACUCAACAUGGAAGGGGAGGAGCAUCAAUUCAGAUCGAGCUUCGAGAUGUUGAUAGUGGAAACAAAGUCACUGAAAGAUUUCGUACGGAUGAAGCUAUUGAAAGGGUAUAUGUUGAAGAGAAGACUUUCCAAUACUUAUAUGCAGAAGGAGAUAUGGUAGUGUUAACAGACCCUGAAACAUUUGAACAGUUAGAAGUGCCAAAAGAAUUGUUUGGAAAAUCUGCUGUCUACCUAAAAGAUGAUAUGACUGUUAAAGUGCAGUAUUAUGAUGGGAGACCAAUGUCUACAACAGUACCUUAUCGUGUUACCUGCACUGUUGUUGAAGCACAAGCUCCCAUGAAGGGCCUCUCCGUGAAUCCUCAAUGAUUUCUUACAAGAGAUGGGUGUUGGUCAGUUGGUGCUUUAAUUUUGAUAUUCUGAAAUUCUGCAUUUGAUGAUGAGUUGCAACUGUGGGGAAAUUGUUGCUGCGUGUUUAUCUUUCUAGUAUAGUACACUCUAGUGCAUAGAUCACGGCUCAAUAAUUGUAUUUCAAUGAUAGUAGAGGGUAUAAAAAGGUUUUGCUGGAUAAUGGGCUGACAGUUCUUGCACCUCCAUUCAUUGUAACUGGUGAUGAAAUUGUCGUCAGUACAGCAGAUGAUUCAUAUCUCACAAGGGCAAAGUAGGAAAUUGUACAGCCUGAAAUUCGGCAUACAAAGUUUUCCCAUGAAGAGUUCGCUGUGAAGGUUUUGUAGGAAUGUAUAAUUGUGACAGUAUUCAACAUGAUAUAGGAUGAACUUAGAUACUCCAAUAAACAUACUUUCAUGCUAUUCUACAAUUUUGAUUUUUCUCUUGGAAGGUUGUCUGUUUUCCUUUUGCUUGGAAGGAUCUAGCUGCAAUCAGCAUUUGUAGUGGCUUCUUGUUUCCAAAUGAUUUGUUAGUUACCUGUAUAAACCUAUCUUUCAUCUCGAGUUGCAUCGUAUUUUCAGCAGAA